GAUGAACGCUGGCGGCGUGCCUAAUACAUGCAAGUCGAGCGAACAGACGAGGAGCUUGCUCCUCUGACGUUAGCGGCGGACGGGUGAGUAACACGUGGAUAACCUACCUAUAAGACUGGGAUAACUUCGGGAAACCGGAGCUAAUACCGGAUAAUAUGUUGAAUCGCAUGGUUCAACAGUGAAAGGCGGUCUUGCUGUCACUUAUAGAUGGAUCCGCGCCGCAUUAGCUAGUUGGUAAGGUAACGGCUUACCAAGGCAACGAUGCGUAGCCGACCUGAGAGGGUGAUCGGCCACACUGGAACUGAGACACGGUCCAGACUCCUACGGGAGGCAGCAGUAGGGAAUCUUCCGCAAUGGGCGAAAGCCUGACGGAGCAACGCCGCGUGAGUGAAGAAGGUCUUCGGAUCGUAAAACUCUGUUAUUAGGGAAGAACAAAUGUGUAAGUAACUAUGCACGUCUUGACGGUACCUAAUCAGAAAGCCACGGCUAACUACGUG
This 497-nucleotide ribosomal RNA is filed under the name uncultured bacterium. RNAcentral's name for it is "partial 16S ribosomal RNA". It matches the Rfam family "Bacterial small subunit ribosomal RNA", at positions 28 to 507 of the family's 1533-position model. The record is from RNAcentral.